This 269-nucleotide ribosomal RNA is filed under the name uncultured anaerobic ammonium-oxidizing bacterium. Its description in RNAcentral is "partial 16S ribosomal RNA". It matches the Rfam family "Bacterial small subunit ribosomal RNA", at positions 565 to 832 of the family's 1533-position model. The record is from RNAcentral.
GAGCACGUAGGUGGGUUUGUAAGUCGGUUGUGAAAGCCUUCCGCUCAACGGGAGAACGGCAGCCGAUACUGCAAAGCUUGAGUGCGGGAGGGGAGAGUGGAACUUCUGGUGGAGCGGUGAAAUGCGUAGAUAUCAGAAGGAACGCCGGCGGCGAAAGCGGCUCUCUGGCCCAUAACUGACGCUGAGUGUGCGAAAGCUAGGGGAGCAAACGGGAUUAGAUACCCCGGUAGUCCUAGCCGUAAACGAUGGGCACUAAGUAGAGGGGUUUU